Molecule: ribosomal RNA, 301 nt
Filed under: uncultured bacterium
Lineage: Bacteria
Description: partial 16S ribosomal RNA
Rfam family: Bacterial small subunit ribosomal RNA
Source: RNAcentral
CAGCAGCCGCGGGAAUACGUAGGGUGCGAGCGUUAAUCGGAAUUACUGGGCGUAAAGCGUGCGCAGGCGGUUCGUUAAGACAGAUGUGAAAUCCCCGGGCUUAACCUGGGAACUGCAUUUGUGACUGGCGAGCUAGAGUAUGGCAGAGGGAGGUAGAAUUCCACGUGUAGCAGUGAAAUGCGUAGAGAUGUGGAGGAAUACCGAUGGCGAAGGCAGCCCCCUGGGCCAAUACUGACGCUCAUGCACGAAAGCGUGGGGAGCAAACAGGAUUAGAUACCCCUGUAGUCCCUGUCUCUUAUAC